GGGCCAUGGCUCAGCGGCAGAGCACUUGCCUCGCGUGUAGGAGGUGCCAGGUUCAGUCCCUGGCAUCCUCA
RNAcentral lists this transfer RNA (71 nucleotides) under Sphaerodactylus townsendi. Its description in RNAcentral is "tRNA-Ala". Lineage: Eukaryota; Metazoa; Chordata; Lepidosauria; Squamata; Sphaerodactylidae. The record is from RNAcentral.